Molecule: long non-coding RNA, 4287 nt
Organism: Solea solea (common sole)
Lineage: Eukaryota; Metazoa; Chordata; Actinopteri; Pleuronectiformes; Soleidae
Exons: 2
Source: RefSeq, a predicted model, not a curated record
AAAUCCAUCGUCUGUAUUUUUGAAUAUGCGUCCAUAUAUACAUUCAGCAGGAAUGGCAAUUUAGACAACGUACACUUUCUCAAAAUGCAAAAAGGUCUUGUUUCACUGAUUUAGGGAAGGUUAAAAUGAGCCAGUAUUCAAAACAUCCAGCAUUUUUAUUAAUAUUUUAUGUCUAAUUAAGUUUAACAGAGCUGAAUGUCUCAAGCAACGACAACAACAUUCAUAGGUUAUUAUAAGUUUGGAUUUUAUAGAUUUAGAUUUAACUGAAAUUAUCUAAAUUGGAUCAUUUAUUGUGACUGUCGGAAUAUACAACAGGAGUCGGGUGCGCAGUCAGGAUGCAGACUAUAGCCAUUCACCCGUUCCAACACGCAGUCAAGUAAACCCCACAAUCAUCCAAUCGGUGCCGACGUAUGCAUUUGAGAGAGCUGAGACUUUGUCGACAAAGCCUCACUGUUGUCAGAUUUUGUCGACUCCGGUUUCUUCAUCUGAGACUUGCUGGAUGGUGCCCAUGACUUUUCUGACUCCCACCUGGUGGAAUCUUGGUCGGGUUUGUCCUCCCAGGGAGGCCUGGUGUACAGCUGAGACCUUGUGGACGCUCCCUCGGCGCUCUGGGACCGGGGGAACACUGCUCCGACAGGCUGAGUCUUUCCCAUCGGCACCCUGCUGUGAUGAGGGCCUGCCUGGCUGGACCCGUUGGACGAGCGCACCACCAGGUAGCGGACAGAAGGGCUCUUGUCUGUGUCGUGGCCUUUGAUGGGACACGCUGAGCUGAUGAACAAACCCCCGCCGAGGAUGAGCAGGAUGGACGCCCCCCAACCGAUGUAGAGGCAAGCACCCAGCUCUCUGCGCUGAGCGUCGAUAGAGGCACUGUAGAACUUUCUGACCACGGCCCCGGCUGCCCAGGACGUAGGAAUUAAACACAGCAGCCCUGUGGCGAUCAACACGGCCCCUGCUGCUAUCGCCACCUUCCCUUUGACUCCACCCCCUUCCUCAUCCAAAAAGCGAGUGCACUUCCCUCCAAUGAAGGCCAGAAUGAGGCCGAUGCUCCCCGUAGUGAUGGCGAAGACGGUGAGAGCUCUGGCCGCCUGCAGGUCAGGGGUGAGAGCGAGGAGGGAGUCGUACGGCUUGCACUGGAUCUGCCCCGUGCUCUGGACCACACAGGUCAUCCAGAUGCCCUCCCAGAUCGUCUGUGACGUGACAAUGGUGCUGCCCACGAAGGCCGUGACCCUCCACAAAGGCAGCAGGCAGGUGAUGAUGACUCCGGCCCAACCCAGGAGGCAUAGCGCACUGGCCAGCAUCUGCAUCCCCAUGGAGGCCAUGUUGAAGAGCUUUAAAAAGCUGUUUAAGAAAGAAGCACUCGGAUGUUUUUUUUUUAGUCUUUUCUGUAAAGUACCCUUUUGCUUUCACUCCUUGUCUCUCUUCUCACGAGUCUGUCUCUUAUGGCUCUCUCUCAACCAGAGAUCCUGCAGUUUUCAUUUUCUUCCAUUUCUCUGUUUCUCUUACGCUGUUCUUUUUAAAUCUUGACACGGUGUAUCAAGGAGCAGGAGCACACUGACUCUAAAGAGUUGUCUGCCCAGUCUCUGGUGGCUUUUACCUGACAGCAGGUGUGUCUCAGUUCAGCCUCACUUCAUCUGUUUACAGGCUGCUUUUCCUACGACUCAGUCCCUCCCCCUUUAUGUGUCCCUAACUGCUGUCCUUUCCUGUCUGUCCCCCUUUCCCCUCCUCUCCCUCCCGUCUUUUUUUUUUUAUUGUCCUACCUGAGUAUGCUGUUUCUUGACUGUCACCUGAGCGGCUGCCUGUGUGCUACUGGCCAGGUUGCAGAUGCACCACCUAAACUACAGGGAAACAAAAAGGGGAGGUGCCGUUGCUGUGAAACUAUGACAUCACCUACUGUCUUCCCUCCCUCCUCAUCUUUUUUUCAAGCGAUUAUUUUGUGGAGGGUCAGAUGGAUCCGGAAGAGAGCGAUAAGCGUGACAGCAUUAACCGUGUGUCAGGUGCACUCUCACAUGGGGCUGUUUGUCGACUCAAUGCCGAGACAGUUUUAGUUGGAAGUCUAAUGUCAUUCAAACAUAAAUACAUUUUAGAUAAGCGCUAAACACAUCUACGGGCAACUUGAAAGAUGCAAACUGUUAAGAAGCGAAAUAAAGGCGAGAAAAGUGGAACACUAUCUCCUGGGAGUAAACCACUUUCAUUCUGGCAGUAUCUACAGUGCAGAAAAACCAGUUUCAAAUAUGCAAACCCCCCCCCCCCCCCCCCCCCCCGACCACACACAUACACACACACAAGUACUCUGUGCACACAGAGACACACACUACAACUAAUCAGCCACAAAAUAAUCUUCAAUCUCACUGAUCCCGUAUCUCAGUGGGCAAGUUUGUGUGUAGUAGUUGUCAUGGUUUGAAAUAUGUGUUUUAUUACUGUCACAUUAAGUCCCUUAUCACAAACAAAACUAUACUAUAAUGUAAGCAUAUAUAAGGACAUUAUAGUUGCUUACUUAUUUUAAUAAUCAUUCAUUUUCCACGUAUGCACCACCCUUCACAUAUGGGUCUCCAUAUGUUGCAAACUACUUUUAUGAACUGUUUUUGAAAUCAAAUACAGACUCUUCCUGUGGUUUUUUGUUACCAUUCUUGUGCUUUAGCAUGGUUCCCUUGGCAGGACGGACAGACGCAGUGUCACAGAGCCUGUUUGGAAAGAUUCUUGCGGCGCACUCGAAAAACCAGAUCCUUGUCACGUCGCUUCACUAAAAGUGUUUCUCUCUUUGAAGGAGAAGAAAGGCGGCAACGAGAUGUGGGGAGAAAAAACUUCAAGAGACUCUUAAAGAUGAACUUGAGAUUAAUUUUACUGCCAUACAAUAAUACAAACAAUUACAGAAAACAAACAAACAAACUCUUCAGAUUAUACUCAAACAAGAUGUGUGAAUCAGUCACUUCAUUGUCAAUAUUCAGUUGUUUGAAAAGAAGCUAAAGAAUCCAACUCGGACACAUAACAGUAACGGAACCACAUUAAGUGAGACCUGAACAACAUAAACUAGUGAAUAUCAACAAAAAUAUAAGUCAAAGUGUGUCCAAAACCCUGCAUUUUACAACAUGUUCGACUCCUAGUAAACUCGAACACAUGCUUGACUAAGUUAUUAUACUUUUCAAUGUUGUCUUCUCUCUCUCUGACUGUCCACCAUUUCAAACAUAGGCCUUGCUGCUGUCCACAGAGCGAGUCUUGGCGUACUUCACAUCAUAGUCAUUCUCAUCUCUGGGGGGACAGGAGCUGCAGAGGAGACCCCCACCCAGGAACAGCAGACCUGCCGCCCCCCAGCCAAUGUAGAGCGAGGCCCCCAGCUCCCUCCUCUGAGCAUUGGUCAUUGUGGGGUUGUAGAAAUCCCGGAUGAUGGUGUUGGCGGUCCAGCAGACGGGGAUUAGCACCAAGAGUCCUGCAAUGAUGAAGAUAAUUCCGGCAGCGAUGGCCACUUUGCACUUUUGCCUUUCAUCACUCACAAAGUUGGUGCACUUGCCUCCAACUAUGGAAAGGAGGACCCCAAAGACUCCGGCGAUGAUGGCGAUGAUGACGAGCGCCCUGGCGGCCUGCAGGUCCCGAGGUAAGGCCAGGAGAGAGUCGUAGACCUUGCACUGCAUCUGACCCGUACUUUGUGUCACACAGUUCAUCCACAAACCCUCCCAGAUCACCUGAGACGUGACGAUGUUGGCACCGAUGAAGGCUGUGACUUUCCAGGUGGGGAGAGCAACGAUGAUGAUGCUGCCCAGGAAGCCGAUGAAGGCCAGGGCUAUACCUAGAAUCUGUCUCCCAGCAGACACCAUGCUGAUGCUCUGUGGAUUUUCUCUGCAGGAACAAGACAAUGUGUUGCUGAGAGACAGUGGAGUUUACAAGUGAGAGAGACAAGAAGUAGGUGGUGGUAUUUAUUGGCCACUUGGGGAAGACGCCGAGAGUGGCUCAUUCUCAAAGAGGAGGGGUUUUCUGGCAGAAACUGGUUUGUGAAGUCACCUGACCAGAAUUCACAUCACUGGAGAAACUGUUUUUCUGUGUUCAGGGGGGUGAUGACAUCAGGCCUGAGUGGCUGUGCGUCACGAUGUUGCACGAGUGUGUUUUACAGACAGGAAGGCUGGUAUCGCUUUGUCUAACCACAUACGAUAUCGGUUUGGGGAGCGUAUACAUUUGAAGAUUGAGAUGAUCGCUCCAGCUGAGAAGCUGACUGAAACACUGGCAUUGGAGGCCAGAGAGGAUAAACAGAGAGAGAGAGAGAGAGCCUGAAAAUAUAGAAGAUACCAUUUGUGCUCA